This 977-nucleotide long non-coding RNA is filed under the name Marmota monax (woodchuck). Lineage: Eukaryota; Metazoa; Chordata; Mammalia; Rodentia; Sciuridae. The record is from RNAcentral.
CCUGUCUUUAAACAGAAUUGCACAGCUGUAUUUUCAAGAAGGUUCAUUCAGGGAAAGAUAGAAAGCAUAUUAUCUGUAAAGAGAUGUUUCAGGAACUUAAUAGUGUCCAAGUAUUUCAAACCUAGUGAUGCUGGUAUAUACUCGCUUCUGAAUAGGAAAGAGUUUGAUUCUGUUAAUUUUACCUGUUGUUGGCCACUAAUAGGGGAAAUCCGUUUGCAGGAUAAAAUCCUUAAUAAAUAGAAUUGGAAAGUGAGAUACAGACAUUAAAAACUUAAUAUUUAUGCUUAGACUUAAUUCUACAAACAAGUUAUGUGCACUUAAUUUGUAGGAAAUGGAGAUUAUAAAUAAUGGUUCCUGCCUUGGACUUCAUGAGGUGAGAGAAGAAAUUUUUACAGACAACAUAGAAUUACAGUGGUCUGAGAAAUUACAAAGAUGUUAUGUGAUCUUCCAGGGGAAGAAGCUAUCUUAAACAUAACUGUGUGUCAAUACUAGACCUUAAAUUAUACUACAGAGCUAUAGUAACAAAAGUGGCAUGGUAUUGGCACAAAAAUAGACUUGAAGACCGGUGGAACAGAAUAUAAGACACAGAGAUAUACCCACAUAAAUACAGUUGUCUCAUACUAGACAAAGGCACCAUAAACAUACAUCGGAGAAAAGAUAGCUUCUUCAACAAAUGGUGCUGGGAAAACUGGAAAUCCAUAUAUAGUAGAAUGAAACAUAAACACAUAUAGGAGGAAAGAUAGCCUCUUCAACAAGUGGUGCUAGGAAAACUGAAAAUCCAUAUGCAGUAGAUUGCAAUUGAACCCCUGUGUCUCAACUUGCACAAAACUCAACCAAAGUGGAUCAAGGACCUAGGCAUUAGACCAGAGACCCUGUGCCUACUAGAAGAAAAAGUUGGCCCAACUCUUCAUCAUGUUGGCUUAGAAAUGGACUUCCUCAAUUAGACUCCUAGGGUCAAAAAGUAAAAUCAAGAAUUA